CAGUAGCCGCGGUAAUACGUAGGUGGCAAGCGUUGUCCGGAAUUAUUGGGCGUAAAGGGCUCGCAGGCGGUUUCUUAAGUCUGGUGUCUAAGUGCGGGGCUCAACCCCGUGACGCACUGGAAACUGGGAGACUUGAGUGCAGAAGAGGAGAGCGGAAUUCCACGUGUAGCGGUGAAAUGCGUAGAGAUGUGGAGGAACACCAGUGGCGAAGGCGGCUCUCUGGACUGUAACUGACGCUGAGGCGCGAAAGCGUGGGGAGCAAACAGGAUUAGAUACCCCGGUAGUCCCUGUCUCUUAUACA
RNAcentral lists this ribosomal RNA (301 nucleotides) under uncultured bacterium. Its description in RNAcentral is "partial 16S ribosomal RNA". It matches the Rfam family "Bacterial small subunit ribosomal RNA", at positions 509 to 808 of the family's 1533-position model. The record is from RNAcentral.